RNAcentral lists this ribosomal RNA (446 nucleotides) under uncultured bacterium. RNAcentral's name for it is "partial 16S ribosomal RNA". It matches the Rfam family "Bacterial small subunit ribosomal RNA", at positions 330 to 792 of the family's 1533-position model. The record is from RNAcentral.
CCCAGACUCCUACGGGAGGCAGCAGUGGGGAAUAUUGCACAAUGGGGGAAACCCUGAUGCAGCGACGCCGCGUGGGCGACGAAGCGCUCCGGCGCGUAAAGCCCUGUCAGCAGGGAAGAACAAAGACAGUACCUGACCAAGAAGCCCCGGCUAACUACGUGCCAGCAGCCGCGGUAAUACGUAGGGGGCAAGCGUUAUCCGGAUUCACUGGGCGUAAAGGGAGCGCAGGCGGCACGGCAAGUCUGGUGUGAAAGCCCGGGGCCCAACCCCGGGACUGCAUUGGAAACUGCCGGGCUGGAGUGCCGGAGGGGUAAGCGGAAUUCCUGGUGUAGCGGUGAAAUGCGUAGAUAUCAGGAGGAACACCGGCGGCGAAGGCGGCCUGCUGGACCGCGACUGACGUUGAGGCUCGAAAGCGUGGGGAGCGAACAGGAUUAGAUACCCCAGUA